GAAUAUUGGACAAUGGGCGAAAGCCUGAUCCAGCCAUGCCGCGUGUGUGAAGAAGGUCUUCGGAUUGUAAAGCACUUUAAGUUGGGAGGAAGGGAUGUAGAUUAAUACUCUGCAAUUUUAACGUUACCGACAGAAUAAGCACCGGCUAACUUCGGGCCAGCAGCCGCGGUAAUACGAAGGGUGCAAGCGGUAAUCGGAAUGACUGGGCGUAAAGCGCGCGUAGGUGGUUCGGUAAGUUGGAUGUGAAAUCCCCGGGCUCAACCUGGGAACUGCAUCCAAAACUGGCGAGCUAGAGUAGGGCAGAGGGUGGUGGAAUUUCCUGUGUAGCGGUGAAAUGCGUAGAUAUAGGAAGGAACACCAGUGGCGAAGGCAACCCCCUGGGCCUGUACUGACGCUCAUGCACGAAAGCGUGGGGAGCAAACAGG
This 425-nucleotide ribosomal RNA is filed under the name uncultured bacterium. RNAcentral describes it as "partial 16S ribosomal RNA". It matches the Rfam family "Bacterial small subunit ribosomal RNA", at positions 359 to 776 of the family's 1533-position model. The record is from RNAcentral.